AACGCGAAGAACCUUACCUACUCUUGACAUCCUCGGAAUCCUCUGGAAACAGGGGAGUGCCUUCGGGAACCGAGAGACAGGUGCUGCAUGGCUGUCGUCAGCUCGUGUCGUGAGAUGUUGGGUUAAGUCCCGUAACGAGCGCAACCCUUGUCCUUAGUUGCCAGCACGUAAUGGUGGGAACUCUAAGGAGACCGCCGGUGAUAAACCGGAGGAAGGUGGGGAUGAUGUCAAGUCAUCAUGGCCCUUACGAGUAGGGCUACACGCGUGCUACAAUGGGCAGUACAAAGGGUCGCUAAGCCGCGAGGUGGAGCUAAUCCCAAAAAGCUGUUCGUAGUCCGGAUUGGAGUCUGCAACUCGACUCCAUGAAGUUGGAAUCGCUAGUAAUCGCGAAUCAGAACGUCGCGGUGAAUACGUUCCCGGGCCUUGUACACACCGACGCGUA
This 442-nucleotide ribosomal RNA is filed under the name uncultured bacterium. RNAcentral's name for it is "bacterial SSU rRNA". It matches the Rfam family "Bacterial small subunit ribosomal RNA", at positions 958 to 1399 of the family's 1533-position model. The record is from RNAcentral.